RNAcentral lists this ribosomal RNA (498 nucleotides) under uncultured archaeon. RNAcentral's name for it is "bacterial SSU rRNA". It matches the Rfam family "Archaeal small subunit ribosomal RNA", at positions 319 to 818 of the family's 1478-position model. The record is from RNAcentral.
GGCCCUACGGGGCGCAGCAGGCGCGAAAACUGUACAAUGCGCGAAAGCGCGAUACGGGGAGCCUGAGUGCCUUAACAUUUGUUAAGGCUUUUCACAAGCCUAAAAAGCUUGUGGAAUAAGAACUGGGUAAGACGGGUGCCAGCCGCCGCGGUAACACCCGCGGUUCGAGUGGUAGUCACUUUUAUUGAGCCUAAAGCGUUCGUAGCCGGAUUCGUAAAUCUCUAGGAAAAUCCUUCUGCCCAACAGAAGAAAUUCUGGAGAGACUGCGAAUCUAGGGACCGGGUGAGGUUGAAUGUACUUCUGGGGUAGGGGUAAAAUCCUGUAAUCCUGGAAGGACGACCGGUGGCGAAGGCGUUCAACUAGAACGGAUCCGACGGUGAGGAACGAAGGCUAGGGGAGCAAACCGGAUUAGAUACCCGGGUAGUCCUAGCUGUAAACACUGCCCACUUGGUGUUGCAUCUCCGGUAAGGGGGUGCAGUGCCGGAGCGAAGGUGUUAA